This 253-nucleotide ribosomal RNA is filed under the name uncultured bacterium. Its description in RNAcentral is "partial 16S ribosomal RNA". It matches the Rfam family "Bacterial small subunit ribosomal RNA", at positions 524 to 776 of the family's 1533-position model. The record is from RNAcentral.
UACGAAGGGGGCUAGCGUUGCUCGGAAUCACUGGGCUUAAAGGGCGCGUAGGCGGGUGCUCAAGUCUGUGGUGAAAUCCUCCGGCUCAACCGGAGAACUGCCAUGGAUACUGGGUGCCUCGAGGGUGGUAGGGGUAUGCGGAACUAUCGGUGGAGCGGUGAAAUGCGUUGAUAUCGAUAGGAACUCCGGUGGCGAAGGCGGCAUACUGGACCACUUCUGACGCUGAGGCGCGAAAGCCAGGGGAGCAAACGGG